Molecule: long non-coding RNA, 1779 nt
Organism: Daucus carota subsp. sativus
Lineage: Eukaryota; Viridiplantae; Streptophyta; Magnoliopsida; Apiales; Apiaceae
Exons: 4
Source: RefSeq, a predicted model, not a curated record
UGAUUUUGAUCAGUUACCUGUAUUUUGCUUCAAUUUUUUUUUAUUUUCUAUUUUCACUGCUUAUUAAUUAUUUCCGUUACAGGACUUUGGCUUACCAGUUACCAUUGGCCAUGACCUUUGGCUUUCCAUGCCAUAAUAUGUAUAGUCUGAGCUAUCGAUGAAAAUUUGUGUCCCCUACCAAAAAUUGAGGUUGUUCUGCUCGAUAUAAUAUGCUCGUGUGUAUAUUUUUUAGGAGUUUCUAUUCAUAGUUCCAUUUUACCGAGGUGAUUCUCAAGCUCUUUCCUUUUUUAUUGCUUAUAUGUAUCUGUGCGGUGAUUUUGAUCAGUUAUUGGAGUUGAGUGUUUAUUAAUUUGGUGAUUCUUUGAUGGGUGUUCUGAUUUUUGAGUUUCUUGGUGUCUCCGGAUUGUGGGUCUUUUUGAUAGUUUUCAGUCAUUUCGGUGUGAUUGAUGAAUUGCAGCUGGCCUCAGAAAUGGUUUACGAUUACCAAUUUUCUGAGGAAUUUAUAAUUGGUUGCAUUGGGUCAUGACAGUGCCGCAAGUCUGGAAUUGGCAAAUUCACACUCACAGAUCGAAGCUUAGAUCAACAAACCUCUUUCCGCGAGGCAUAUGAAAAAUGGGGCUCUUUUCAGAUUGAAAACCAUGGGAUUGACAAGCAGUUGAUGGAAAAGGUUAAAGACCUGGUGAAUCAGCAUUACGAAGAAAAAGGCAAUAGGACAACCCUUGACCGGGAAACUGCGCUUUUUAUCGGGCAUCACCUGGAUUCUAACCGAGAUCUCCAACCUCUCACAGGAAUUCAGUGCUUGAACUAACUUCUGCAGAGCAACUAAAUGCAUGAACAGCAAAGCAGUAAAUGAGUACAUUGAUCAGUUGAUAGUGUUCCAGAGAUCAGUGAUGAUCAAGUUCUUCUCAAAGUUGAGGUUGCUGCUCUUGACCCUGUUGAUUUAUAAGCGCAUAUAUGCUCGGAUAUUUCAAAGGCAUCGACUCUGCUUUACCGGAAGGGUCGAACCCGGUGGUUGUUAGAUCAAGUGAUCACAGGAAGAAGCUUUUGUCAAGGGAGAGUUGUGUGAUUAAAAAUGGUAAUGUUAUAGAGUUGAUACCUGGGUAUCACUUCUUUACGUUUUUGAGUGUGAGAAAUAGUGUGGCACCGAGUAGUCAGAAAAAGGAUUGUAGUGAAGGGAAUAGAGUAGGUGAUGAAGAUGAAUCUGUUAGUUGGAAGAGGGCAAAACAUGUUUCUCAAGACGAAGCAUUUUCCAGCAGGUUCCUUUCUAUUAGGCGCAGCGUUGAGCUUUUUUUGGUUUAAGCCAACAGAGAAUAGUUCUUUGAUUCCAGACCUUCAAUGCAGGUUGAACCCUCUGUUUAUUUGCAGAAUUAAUUAGGUUUUGAAAUUUUAGAAUGUUUGCCAUCUAUGUUUUGCAGACCGAAAUUUAGCUACAAGCCUGCGAUUCUGUAUAAUAAGUUUCAAUUAGGAAUGAGUUCCGUUGUUUAUUGCUGAUUUAUAUGGUUGUUUAAUCAAUUUCCUUCCCCUUGAUGCAAGUGUGGAUAUGGUUUUUGUUACAGUUGUGCAAGUCCUUUGAUAAGCCACCAAUGUCCUAAAUGUAACUAGGCAAUGAAUACAGCCAGGCAAGUCGUAGGUACCUCUGAUGAGCUAAUGACCUCUGAUGAGCUAAUGACUUUAGUACCAACUAUUUAGAAAUUUACUUGCAUGAAGCAUCAAUGUGAUCCCCUGUGUUUAUGUUGGAUUUUAUGCAAUGUAUGAUCUAUUGAAUGUGUUCUAUAUAUU